RNAcentral lists this ribosomal RNA (471 nucleotides) under uncultured Denitromonas sp. Its description in RNAcentral is "bacterial SSU rRNA". It matches the Rfam family "Bacterial small subunit ribosomal RNA", at positions 909 to 1382 of the family's 1533-position model. The record is from RNAcentral. Lineage: Bacteria; Pseudomonadati; Pseudomonadota; Betaproteobacteria; Rhodocyclales; Zoogloeaceae.
UGAAUGACGGGACCCGCACAAGCGGUGGAUGAUGUGGAUUAAUUCGAUGCGACGCGAAAACCUUACCUACCCUUGACAUGCCUGGAACUUGGUAGAGAUACCUUGGUGCCUUCGGAGCCAGGACACAGGUGCUGCAUGGCUGUCGUCAGCUCGUGUCGUGAGAUGUUGGGUUAAGUCCCGCAACGAGCGCAACCCUUGCCACUAAUUGCCAUCAUUUAGUUGGGCACUUUAGUGGGACUGCCGGUGACAAACCGGAGGAAGGUGGGGAUGACGUCAAGUCCUCAUAGCCCUUAUGGGUAGGGCUUCACACGUCAUACAAUGGUCGGUACAGAGGGUUGCCAAGCCGCGAGGUGGAGCGAAUCCCAGAAAACCUGUCUCAGUCCGGAUUGAAGUCUGCAACUCGACUUCAUGAAGGCGGAAUCGCUAGUAACCGCGAAUCAGCAGGUCGCGGUGAAUACGUUCCCGGGCCUU